This 551-nucleotide long non-coding RNA is filed under the name Pongo abelii (Sumatran orangutan). Its description in RNAcentral is "lincRNA". The record is from RNAcentral. Lineage: Eukaryota; Metazoa; Chordata; Mammalia; Primates; Hominidae.
GAAAAGUGAAUCUAAGAGAUCUAGCAUUCUGCAGAAAAGUACUGGAGAUGACUCAGGACUGAAAAUGAUCAUGAAGCCCUUUGCAAAUAUCAAAGUGGUGAUGAAACAGUCAUGAACUUUGACCAGAAGCCGUGUUUUGUGGGAUUGCCGCUUUAAUCGCUCCUGUUCAUCAUUAGGACUGCAGCUGGAGUGUGGAAGGAGGGACUCCAAAUAUAUAAGAAGAUGCUACCACACCCUGGGAGAUUGGAUUCCCCACUGCGCUGGCUUUCUCAAGCUCUGUGGAAUGUGAUGUUGGCUGGAACUUAUCAUGAAGAGCUUUGCUGUAAAACAGAUCUGGGGUAAAGUGGGUCUUAAAAAUCCUUUCUCUAUACAUCCAUGUAGAUAGAGAUCAUCUCCAUUAACAGAAGAGGGAAUGAUGCCAUUCUUAUAAAGAAGCUGUACUGUGGGCACAUUUAUUCCUAAGUCAAUAGUAGCCAUUUUAACUAUGAAAAGGAUCUGCCCAGAUGAAAGAGGGGCUGCCUGUGGAGCACAGCUAGAUGGGGGAAGCAAGG